RNAcentral lists this ribosomal RNA (775 nucleotides) under uncultured Neocallimastigales. RNAcentral describes it as "partial large subunit ribosomal RNA". It matches the Rfam family "Eukaryotic large subunit ribosomal RNA", at positions 22 to 647 of the family's 3401-position model. Lineage: Eukaryota; Fungi; Neocallimastigomycota; Neocallimastigomycetes; Neocallimastigales. The record is from RNAcentral.
GUACACGCUGUGACUAGCAUAUCAAUAAGCGGAGGAAAAGAAACUAACAAGGAUUCCCCUAGUAACGGCGAGUGAAGCGGGAAGAGCUCAAAUUUGAAAUCUUAAAGGGUUUCCCUUUACGAAUUGUAGUUUAAAGAAGUGUUUUCUGUUGAGGUUUUGGUAAAAGUUCUUUGGAAUAGGACAUCAUAGAGGGUGAGAAUCCCGUAUUUGACCUUUACUUUCAACUUUGUGAUACACUUUCAAAGAGUCGGAUUGUUUGGGAAUGCAGUCCAAAAUGGGUGGUAAAUUUCAUCUAAAGCUAAAUAUUGGCGAGAGACCGAUAGCGAACAAGUACCGUGAGGGAAAGAUGAAAAGAACUUUGAAAAGAGAGUUAAACAGUACGUGAAAUUGUCAAAAGGGAAGCGUUUGACACCAGUGUUGUUUUUUCUGAAAAUCAAUUAAAGAACUGUUUAUGCUAAGUUGUUUAGACUUUAUCAGCUAACUGUUUAGUUUUGAGCUUUUCUUUAAUGCACUUUUCAGUUAACAAGUCAACAUCAAUUUCUUUUGCUGUAAAAAAGCUUGAGGAAGGUGGCUUGAGAUUCGUCUUAAGUGUUUAUAGCCUCUUGCCUAUGCAGUCGGAGAGAUUGAGGUCUGCAGCGUAGAUCCUUCGGGGCUAAAUGCAUUUGUGCUAAGUUAUAGCAUUUUAUAGACAACUUGUUGACUAUGAUUUGUCUUGUAGCUUACUCGCUUAUGUUAUUUUACCUACGCUUAGGAUGUUGACGAGACUGUCGAUCUC